RNAcentral lists this long non-coding RNA (823 nucleotides) under Homo sapiens (human). RNAcentral's name for it is "HSALNT0016747". The record is from RNAcentral. Lineage: Eukaryota; Metazoa; Chordata; Mammalia; Primates; Hominidae.
CAUGAUAACACGUGAUUCUGUGGAUUUACUGGGCUAAGCUGGGUGGUUCUUGUCUUGGGUCUCAGGCAGUUACUGACAGAUGGCAACUGGAACUGGAAUCAUCUACAGGCUUGACUAGGCUGGACAUCCACAAUGAUUCCUUUACUCUUAUGUGUGGUGAUUCUGAUGGGAUGGCUGGCACAGCUAGGGGCUACCUAGGCAUCUGUCUUUCUCCGUAUGGUAUCUUCACAUGGCUACUUUGUACUUCUUCACAGCACAGUAGUCUCUCCCACAAUAGUCUGAGAUAGGUGGUCUCAGGCAUCUCAUAUGACAUUUGGAUUUCCUCAAAGCAUACGCUCCAAGAGCAAGUGUUUCUAGAGGCUGAGGAAGAAUCCACAAGGAAGCAUGAGUUACUGGAAGGCCAUCUUUGGAGACAAGCUACUAUGGUUCCAAAUGACAAUAACGAUUCCAAAGGAGGAGGGGUCACUGUGUAGAGGACUAUUAGGGGGGCCACAUCACUGAGGAGGUGCAGCUUAAAUUGGAAGAAAUGUGAGUUCCACCUAAGGAGAGAGAAGAAAGACCUCAUGGUGAAAUGAACAUAUACUCUCAAGAGGAUCUGAGUUCAAUUCAUGCUUCUAUCACUUCAUAACCAUGUACCUUUGGAAGUAAUACCUCACAGGGUAGUUGAACAGAAUAGCAAAAACAUAUAUUAAAGCCUGGAUCAUAGCCAGAAAAAAAUAGAAAGGAAUUAUUAUUAUUAAUCACAAAAGAGGACAUUCCAAGCUGUGUAAAAAUUAGACACUAGGUACUUUGAGGACCCAAUGAGUGACCUACAACAUCACGU